UCUUCAUUUCACGUGCUCUCUCACCGGUCAGAGAGGCGAGAGAGUGUGUGAAACGAAGAGA
Pristionchus pacificus is the source of this 61-nucleotide non-coding RNA. The record is from Rfam. Lineage: Eukaryota; Metazoa; Nematoda; Chromadorea; Rhabditida; Neodiplogasteridae.